UUUAAAUUGAGAGUUUGAUCCUGGCUCAGGACGAACGCUGGCGGCGUGCCUAACACAUGCAAGUCGAGCGAGAAACUUUUGUUUCUAGCGGCGGACGGGUGAGUAACACGUGGAUAACCUGCCUCAUAGUGGGGGAUAGCCUCCCGAAAGGGAGAUUAAUACCGCAUAUUAUUAAAUCUUCGCAUGAAGAUUUAAUGAAAGGAGCAAUCCGCUAUGAGAUGGGUC
Molecule: ribosomal RNA, 225 nt
Filed under: Clostridium sp. USBA 49
Lineage: Bacteria; Bacillati; Bacillota; Clostridia; Eubacteriales; Clostridiaceae
Description: 16S rRNA. Bacterial SSU
Rfam family: Bacterial small subunit ribosomal RNA
Source: RNAcentral